RNAcentral lists this transfer RNA (64 nucleotides) under Anilius scytale (false coral snake). RNAcentral describes it as "tRNA-Trp". The record is from RNAcentral. Lineage: Eukaryota; Metazoa; Chordata; Lepidosauria; Squamata; Aniliidae.
GGGCUUAAGUUAUACUAAACUAGUGGCCUUCAAAGCCCCCAAAAAAGAAACUCUUUAGCCCCUG